RNAcentral lists this transfer RNA (73 nucleotides) under Bos taurus (domestic cattle). It matches the Rfam family "tRNA". From Rfam's summary of the family: Transfer RNA (tRNA) molecules are approximately 80 nucleotides in length. Lineage: Eukaryota; Metazoa; Chordata; Mammalia; Artiodactyla; Bovidae. RNAcentral also lists the same sequence under 3 other names. The record is from Rfam by way of RNAcentral.
UCCCUGGUGGUCCAGUGGCUAAGACUCUUGUGCUCCCAAUGCAGGGCCCUGGGUUCAAUCCCUGGUCAGGGAA